GGUUCGCUAGCUCAACCGGUAGAGCAGCUGACUCUUAAUCAGCGGGUUCGGGGUUCGAGUCCCUGGCGAACCACCA
Molecule: transfer RNA, 76 nt
Filed under: Planctomycetaceae bacterium
Lineage: Bacteria; Pseudomonadati; Planctomycetota; Planctomycetia; Planctomycetales; Planctomycetaceae
Also listed under: 1 other name
Description: tRNA-Lys
Rfam family: tRNA
About the family: Transfer RNA (tRNA) molecules are approximately 80 nucleotides in length.
Source: RNAcentral